Apis mellifera (honey bee) is the source of this 686-nucleotide long non-coding RNA. RefSeq lists it as uncharacterized. NCBI's taxonomy places the organism in Eukaryota, Metazoa, Arthropoda, Insecta, Hymenoptera, Apidae. The record is from RefSeq and is a predicted model, not a curated record. The transcript has 2 exons.
GGGGAGAAACACUAGUACACUUCAACCGCCAUACUGUAUACAUGUGCCGGAGCUACGCAUGUCGACAUCAUAUAUAAUUUAUAUUCGUUUGAUAUAAUUUAAAAAUGUGCACAAAUAUCAAAUUUGAAAUACAUCCUACGUUAUAUUCGCGAGUGUUAAAAUAUAUAUUAUUUAUUUGUUUUAUUUGUGAAUGUUUUAAGUACGUUUAUUUGCGCAGUGAAAUAGUAGCAGUUUCGCGCGUUUUUUUGCAAUUGUUUGUAGUUACACGUUUAUUUACGAAUAUUCAGUCCACACAUUUCUACGUAAAUUAUUCGUAUAUAAUUCGUUUAUUAUAUAUAUAAUCAUUUUAUUUGUAAAUGUUGAUACGUUUCAUCAUUGGACAAUCAAUCAAGUGGACGAUAUAAUAUUCUAUAAAGUUCUUCAAGGAAAGAAAAAUUCAAUAUUGCCAUGAAGCCAUGAAAAAUAAUAAAAUUUGAUUUUUUGAAGUUUUGAUUUGAAAUACGGAACCAUGUAAUGUUAGCCAAUCAGGAAGCUGCUAAGAUUCAGUCUCAAAAUGAAUCACUGCGCAUCAUUAUGCGCAUGACGUCAGUCUUAUCUUUUGCACAGAAUAAAUAGUUCGACUGAUAGAAUUUAUUUUAAAAUUUUAGAAAAAGGAUUUUCAAUAUGGAAAUCAUAAUUUUAUUUUA